RNAcentral lists this ribosomal RNA (390 nucleotides) under uncultured bacterium. RNAcentral describes it as "bacterial SSU rRNA". It matches the Rfam family "Bacterial small subunit ribosomal RNA", at positions 372 to 756 of the family's 1533-position model. The record is from RNAcentral.
AGGACNAAGUCUGACGGAGCACGCCGCGUGAGCGAUGAAGGCCUUCGGGUCGUAAAGCUCUGUUGUUAGGGAAGAACAAGUACCGGAGUAACUGCUCGUACCUUGACGGUACCUAACCAGAAAGCCACGGCUAACUACGUGCCAGCAGCCGCGGUAAUACGUAAGUGGCAAGCGUUUUCCGGAAUUAUUGGGCGUAAAGCGCGCGCAGGCGGUUUCUUAAGUCUGAUGUGAAAGCCCCCGGCUCAACCGUGGAGGGUCAUUGGAAACUGGGGAACUUGAGUGCAGAAAAAGAAAGCGGAAUUCCACGUGUAGCGGUGAAAUGCGUAAAGAUGUGGAGGAACACCAGUGGCGAAGGCGGCUUUCUGGUCUGUAACUGACGCUGAAGCGCGA